RNAcentral lists this long non-coding RNA (1566 nucleotides) under Mus pahari (shrew mouse). RNAcentral describes it as "predicted gene 28590 (MGP_PahariEiJ_G0006036.1)". The record is from RNAcentral. Lineage: Eukaryota; Metazoa; Chordata; Mammalia; Rodentia; Muridae.
AAGCCAUGGCUAGCAAGCCAGUAAGCAGCAUUCCUCUAUGGCCUCUGUAUCAGCUCUUGUCUCCAGGUUCCUGCUCUGAUGGAGUCUCCCUCCUCACUGCUUUCAAUGAACUGCCUUUCUGCUUUAGGUCCAAUCUGUAGCACUAUUGUACUGGAUAGAGGCUAUGCGUCUAUCUCCUGUUAAGUCCCAGGCUAGAGUUGUGCUUACUUGGCCUUUGGUGGCAGAUGUCAGUUGCCCAGGAUGGGUUCUGGAACUGAACCAUGCUCCUCUGCAAGAGCAGCAGGCUCUUUAACUACACAGUUACCUCUCCAGCCUUGAAGUUACCUGGCUCUGUUCUGUAAGGUGAUGGCCAAUGCAGGAGUAACACAGAAGUUUUAACUGUAGCUUUUGCACUAUUUUCAGGCACUGUAUGAAACCUGGAGUUCCAGAAGAAGUCAUAAUCUGAGGUGCAAGCCUGUUGCUCCAGUGUAGGACAGGGGUGCUGCCAGAAACUAGAGGUGCAUCUGAACCCAGGGAAGUCAGAGCAGCUGGAAGAAAGCUAUGGGCUCAAGGAUUUGGAAGAAGGGAGUGGCUAGGAAGAGGAAUAAAGGUGUGUUAACUGCAGGGACAAAAAUGGAGAAGAUCCUGAAGAAAAGGAGAUCCAGCAACAGGCUCAAAGUGGGAUCCAGCUCAAGGGGAGGCCUCAAGGCCUGACACUAUUACUGAGACUAUGGGAUGCUCAUGAAAAAGGGGCCUAUCAUGACUACCCUCUGAAAGAUUCAACAAGCCGCUGAAAGAGUCAAAUGGAGAUAUUUAUACCCAUUUGGUAUGAUGGACAAAAACUGCUGACACCUGUGGUUGAAGAAGCUGAGGAGGGUUACCCUGUAGGACAACCAGCAGUCUCAACUAACCUGGACCCCUGAGAUCUCUCAGACACUGGAUCACCAACCAGGUAGCAUGAGGCCCCCAGCACAUAUACAGCAGAGGACUGCCAGGUCUGGACAAAGUCAGAGAAGAUGCACCUAAUCCUCAAGAGACUGGAGGCUCUAGGUAGUGGACAGGUCUGGUGGGGUGGAGGUGGGGAGUUGGGGGGUGGGGACAUUCUUGUGGAGACUGGAGGAGGAGGUAUGGAAUAUGGGGUAGAUCAGGAGGGGAAUAAAAUCUGGAUUGUAAAAAAAAAAAAUUAAAUUAUGAUAGGUUAGGUGGUUCCAAACAAAGAAUAUAGGGCAGGGUCUUAAAAUGUAGAUUUGUCUCUAGGUCUUAGACGAUCUGAAGGUCAAAAGGGAUCAGAUGAGUGGAAGGACCCCAGAGGAUGAGCUCUUCUGCUUACGAGUAUACAUUUCCAUAGUCUCAGGAAACUUUGCAGCCAAGUCAUGAAGACAAGGCAAGUUGUGACAUUAGCCCAGGCCCUUCCUAGUCAGAGGGGGAAAUCAAAUUAGAUUGCAUAGAGUCUUGCUGUUUGAAGGAAUGAAGUGGUUGUUAAUGCUGACUGCUUUUUGAAACAAUGCAUUAAUAAGAUUCCAUUUCAAACACUUUCCCCAAAUGCCUUUAGUUUAUUUUCUCAUUAAACAGAGGUCUUGGGGUGGC